AUUGAACGCUGGCGGCAUGCUUUACACAUGCAAGUCGGACGGCAGCACAGAGAAGCUUGCUUCUUGGGUGGCGAGUGGCGAACGGGUGAGUAACAUAUCGGAACGUACCGAGCAGUGGGGGAUAACUAAUCGAAAGAUUAGCUAAUACCGCAUAUCUUCUGAGGAAGAAAGCAGGGGACCAUUUGGCCUUGCGCUGUUUGAGCGGCCGAUAUCUGAUUAGCUAGUUGGUGGGGUAAAGGCCUACCAAGGCGACGAUCAGUAGCGGGUCUGAGAGGAUGAUCCGGCAACAUGGGAAUGGGAAAAGGGCCCGGAUCCUACGGGAGGCAGCAGUGGGGAAUUUUGGACAAUGGGCGCAAGCCUGAUCCAGCCAUGCCGCGUGUCUGAAGAAGGCCUUCGGGUUGUAAAGGACUUUUGUCAGGGAAGAAAAGGGCGGGGUUAAUACCCCUGUCUGAUGACGGUACCUGAAGAAUAAGCACCGGCUAACUACGUG
This 490-nucleotide ribosomal RNA is filed under the name uncultured bacterium. Its description in RNAcentral is "partial 16S ribosomal RNA". It matches the Rfam family "Bacterial small subunit ribosomal RNA", at positions 30 to 507 of the family's 1533-position model. The record is from RNAcentral.